This 460-nucleotide ribosomal RNA is filed under the name uncultured bacterium. RNAcentral's name for it is "partial 16S ribosomal RNA". It matches the Rfam family "Bacterial small subunit ribosomal RNA", at positions 338 to 795 of the family's 1533-position model. The record is from RNAcentral.
CCUACGGGCGGCAGCAGUGAGGAAUAUUGGUCAAUGGACGAGAGUCUGAACCAGCCAAGUAGCGUGAAGGAUGACUGCCCUAUGGGUUGUAAACUUCUUUUAUAUGGGAAUAAAAUGUUCCACGUGUGGGAUUUUGUAUGUACCAUAUGAAUAAGGAUCGGCUAACUCCGUGCCAGCAGCCGCGGUAAUACGGAGGAUCCGAGCGUUAUCCGGAUUUAUUGGGUUUAAAGGGAGCGUAGGUGGAUUGUUAAGUCAGUUGUGAAAGUUUGCGGCUCAACCGUAAAAAUGCAGUUGAAACUGGCAGUCUUGAGUACAGGAGAGGUGGGCGGAAUUCGUGGUGUAGCGGUGAAAUGCUUAGAUAUCACGAAGAACUCCGGUUGCGAAGGCAGUUCACUGGACUGCAACUGACACUGAGGCUCGAAAGUGUGGGUAUCAAACAGGAUUAGAUACCCCAGUAGUC